Molecule: small RNA, 311 nt
Filed under: Podarcis lilfordi (Lilford's wall lizard)
Lineage: Eukaryota; Metazoa; Chordata; Lepidosauria; Squamata; Lacertidae
Source: RNAcentral
UGGUAGCGGCAUAGGCACAGGCAGAAGAGGCACCAGCGGCAGCAGCAUAGGCUUAAGCAUAGGUGGUAGAGGUACCAGCAGCAGUGGCACAGGCGGUAGAGGCUCAGGUGGUAGAGGCACAGGUUGUAGAGGCACAGGCAGUGGAAGCACAAAUGGCAGUGGCAGAGGCCUGUACCACUACCGCCUAAACCUCUGCCGUUUGUGCUUCCACCCCUGUUCCUCUACCACCUCUGCCUCUACCGCCUAUGCCGCUACCGCCUGUGCCUCCUCCGCCUGAGCUGCUGCCACUGCCGCCUGUGCCGCUUAAGCCU